GGAAAUCUCACCAGGCCCGGACACUGGAAGGAUUGACAGAUUGAUAGCUCUUUCUUCAGUGGGUGGUGGUGCAUGGCCGUUCUUAGUUGGUUGAGUGAUUUGUCUUGUUAAUUCCGAUAACGAACGAGACUCUGUCCUGCUAAAUAGUGACGCGGUUCAUCGAACCGUGGGCCACUUCUUAGAGGGACUAUCGGAUUCAAACCGAUGGAAGUGUGAGGCAAUAA
Molecule: ribosomal RNA, 224 nt
Filed under: uncultured eukaryote
Lineage: Eukaryota
Description: partial 18S ribosomal RNA
Rfam family: Eukaryotic small subunit ribosomal RNA
Source: RNAcentral